Molecule: long non-coding RNA, 141 nt
Filed under: Dasypus novemcinctus (nine-banded armadillo)
Lineage: Eukaryota; Metazoa; Chordata; Mammalia; Cingulata; Dasypodidae
Description: lncRNA (ENSDNOG00000051888.1)
Source: RNAcentral
CACACGGUGGAGUGAAGGCAGCAGCUGAAGGUGAAGUCCCCUGGUCCAGUUCCAAGCUUCUGCCAGGAACAGCAGUUCUUCUCAAGCAGGCCUCCUUCUGCCCCUGGGGACCUCCGGAAGGUCAGCCUUCACUAUCCGCCU